RNAcentral lists this ribosomal RNA (277 nucleotides) under uncultured bacterium. Its description in RNAcentral is "partial 16S ribosomal RNA". It matches the Rfam family "Bacterial small subunit ribosomal RNA", at positions 28 to 322 of the family's 1533-position model. The record is from RNAcentral.
GAUAAACGCUGGCGGCGUGCCUAACACAUGCAAGUCGAACGCCCUUGAGCAAUCAAGGGAGUGGCGGACGGGUGAGGAACACGUGGGUGAUCUGCCCCGAGGUGAGGGAUACCGGCGAGAAAUCGCCGACAAUACCGCAUACGCUCGCGAAAGUGAGCAAAGUCGUAAGACGCCUGGGGAUGAGCCUGCGUCCGAUUAGUUAGUUGGUGGGGUAAAGGCCUACCAAGACGGCGAUCGGUAGCUGGUCUGAGAGGACGAUCAGCCACACUGGGAUUGA